GUUGUUGUGUUGUGGUUUGGAAUAUCAAUUGAUAUCAUUCAUUUUCAUAGCUUAAUACCUUGUCUCAUUAAAGUUGCGAUUACACGUUUGAAAUUUCGAAAGACAGAACAUCCAAACAUUGGCAGCGGUCAAUGCCGCCUGCAAAGGGAAGGAGGCUAUGUUGACUAAUUUUAUUUUUGAGGAAUUAGGAGAGUGAAGGUGGGACCAAACUUAUUAACUACUGUGCCUGCCAAGAAGAACCUGGUUUUUAUUCAUAAAUUUCAGCAGCUAUCUACUUCAAGGUCUUGGGCUUGCUGAUUAUAAUAAUAUUGGGGUGGUUUGAUAGUGUUCAUCCAGAGCAAUUUCAUAGAGGGAGUUAAGAAUUUGAUCUCGUAAUGUCCUCUAUUAUUAGGCAAGCAUUCGACUACUAAUCAAUCAGCAGAAUGGCCGAGGUAGUUAGUCAUAGAUGAAUAUUUAUAUUAGCUGACAUAUUUUUUCCUAGUUUUGUAUGUUGCUGUUAGGCCUAUUACUUAGCUAGUCUAAUUUUGUGAGUUUAAAGUUUCAAAUCUUGAUAGCAAAGUUCCAUAUUCUUUAUAAUAAUGUUUUGAUACCUUAAUUUAAUAUCGUUGCCCUCUCAAAUGAUAUGUUGGUACAACGUACAUAACUAAUUGCUGCAUUAGAAAACUAGACUUCAUGUCUGAUUUAAUGAGCUACUGCAAAACUUUUAGGAUUGUUAAUCAAUUUUGACUUCUAAUCAUCAUAGCUUAUUGGUAACUCAUAUAGUACUGAGAAUAAGUUAAUAUAACAUAUGCAGCCUGACUUUUAUUUAUACUGCAAUGAUCUGAUCAGAUAAUUUGAUGUUUCGCUGCAAAAAAGAUGUACUUUUUAUUAUACUGCUUGCUCUUCUUUACUGUUUUUAUUUGGUCAUGUUUCUAAUUAUACAUCAAAAAUUUGUAGAGAACUUGAUUGGGAAAGGGGGC
RNAcentral lists this unclassified non-coding RNA (959 nucleotides) under Hevea brasiliensis (rubber tree). The record is from RNAcentral. Lineage: Eukaryota; Viridiplantae; Streptophyta; Magnoliopsida; Malpighiales; Euphorbiaceae.